RNAcentral lists this ribosomal RNA (253 nucleotides) under uncultured bacterium. RNAcentral describes it as "partial 16S ribosomal RNA". It matches the Rfam family "Bacterial small subunit ribosomal RNA", at positions 524 to 776 of the family's 1533-position model. The record is from RNAcentral.
GACGUAGGGGGCAAGCGUUGUCCGGAAUCAUUGGGCGUAAAGAGCGUGUAGGCGGCCAGAAAAGUCCGCUGUGAAAACUCGAGGCUCAACUUCGAGCUGUCGGUGGAAACUUUCUGGCUAGAGUCCGGAAGAGGAGAAUGGAAUUCCUGGUGUAGCGGUGAAAUGCGCAGAUAUCAGGAAGAACACCCGUGGCGAAGGCGGUUCUCUGGGACGGUACUGACGCUGAGACGCGAAAGCGUGGGGAGCAAACAGG